Molecule: long non-coding RNA, 4428 nt
Organism: Equus caballus (horse)
Lineage: Eukaryota; Metazoa; Chordata; Mammalia; Perissodactyla; Equidae
Source: Ensembl
CCCCAGCCCGGGACACUCGGAGUUCCAGGCCUCCGCGCCCGCGCCCGAGGGCGCCCUCUCCGAAACGGCCACUUGCUCUCCGUUCCUCCUCCGCUUGCCUGUGUGUCAAUCAACACACACUGCCGCUUGCUUGACAGCGCUGUGCUGAGUAGUAGGACACGAGGUAUUGGGAUUCUUCCUGUUGCUGUAAACUCUUAUUUCUGUAUAGCGCUUACACAGCGUUUGCACCUUUGUGAUCUCGUGCAACACUUACUGGGCACCUACUGUGUUCGCCGCCCUGUGCUGGAUGCUGCGUCCACAGGGACACUCCCGGCCUCAAAGGGUUGGAGUGGGCGCGCAGAUCACGAUGUGAAAACGCACAUGCACAUCUUCCGGCCCCACCGCAGAACCGGGGUCCUCCCGGCGCCGCGGGCUGAGGCCAGCCAAUGAGAGGCACGCGGAAGGGCUGCAAGUCUGAAGCGCUCAGAAGAUGAGACGAUAUGAUGGACCGACGGACUCAAGGACAGAGAGGCCGAGAGAUUCGGGGGCCUGUGAGAGUAAGAUGUUAAUGGCAGCGAAAGGCCACGUCCUCCCAGCUCCAUUUGUGACUGGACGAGCGGACCGCACCGUGUGAGUCAGCCUGUUGUGGAAGCGUCUGAGAGUCAUUGCUCUGACUGUGCUGACGAAGCACAGAGAAGAAGGAAGGCCUGACCCCUGCCAGCCCGGAUGUUCCCUGAGGGCCUCUUGCUCUUCUCCACACUGUGGCCAGAGGCCUCUGUCACAGGCAUUAAUCUGGGCUUGUCUGUGUCCUGCCUAACAGCUUCAGGAGGAAGUCACCCUGUGCCCCAGCGCCGAGGCCUGCCCUCUGGAACUUGUCUCUUUGAGGUCCUCACCACGCCUCCAGCCCUGGGCUGGGCCAGGACACCCGGCUCUGUAUUCUCACAGCUCUUGCUCCCCUGACCUUAACACUCAUCCCAGCUGGAGGUUGGAGGUCGUGACUCCUCCUUUGCUGUCUUUCCCAGUGGAGUGUAGGCCCCUCCACAGCGGGGGCCAAGCUGUAGGCUGUGCAGAGCCCACGGCGGGCCCACCGGCAUUUGAUGAUGACAGGAAGCGCUCCUCACAUUCCACUGUAACUGCACGUCUUUCUUUGAGGGCAGACCUGCAGUUGGUUCAUUUCUAUAUCCUCAGCUUUUACUCUGAUCAAAGACCUGGCUCCACAUUCCAAAGGUGUGUGGGCUCUGAUUUCAGUGACCAGGUAGGCCUUUCCGUGACCUGGCCGGGAACGGGCUCCAAGGUCCAUCGCCCACGCUCCACAUGCGGUGUGGGGAGCACAGCAAGGUCUCCUACCCUGAGGGAAGGAAAGGGUUACAGCACUCACCUCUCAGGGCCCUCCCACUCCACCCCCUGCGACAGGUGAGACAGAUGAGGGUAGUGGGUGUGGUCCCAGCAGCCCUGGGGCCCCAAGGAGCCGGGCCUCUCCUUCCAGGUUUAGAUCUGGAACAGGGCCAUGGUUUUGUCCACAGUUCCAACAGGUGUAAUGGCAAUGUCAGGGGGUCACAGUGAGUGUCCUGGCUCCCCCGGCUGUGUUGAGACACAGAGCCAUGAGGCCCCCUUCUUCACAGGUCUCAUGGGUGUCGUGGUUCCUCCCUGAGGCAGCCAGGGGCUGGGCUGCUUGAACAUCAAUCCUUUCAAAUCAUAUCAUUAAAAUCUACUCCCACACCUGUAUUUCAAAGAUAACAUUUGUGCCUGAAAUUGCCACAACUACAUUAUGGCAAAGUCACAUCAUCUGGCUCAUAAUUUAAGGCUUAGAGGCUUCAACUAAUGUAGGUGACAGUCUGGUGGCCAAAAGGAGAAAGUCUGAUUACCAAGUGGCAUUUGCUGGGAGGUCUGGGUCCCCUCCAGCACCUCACGCACAUGUGCAUAAGAGGCACUCAGUGAGUGUUUGUGGAAUCUAUGAAUGAUAUGACGUUUCUAUCCUGAGUCUCAGGGUCUUUUUCUAUUCAGAAAUCUGUCCCCAGACCAGCCGGGUGGCUCAAUGGUUAAGUUCAGGGGCUCCACUUCAGCAGCCCGGGGUUCACAGGUUUGGCUCCUGGGCAUAGACCUAGCACCACUCGUUAAGCCACGCUGUGGAGGCAUCCCACAUAAAAUAGAGGAAGAUUGGUGCAGAUGUCAGCUCAGCAACAAUCUCCCUCACAAAAAAAAAAGAAAAGAAAUCUAUCCCCAAUUAUCACACACACUCACCACAGAGCAGGUCUUUGCUCACUGAAGGGAAGCAGGGCGUUGGCCCCAGUGAGCUGAUUCAGCCUUACAAUCUUUAAGUCACCAGAGCCAAAGAGGGGUGCAGGUGGGAAUCUUCUAGAACAUUGCUUUUCUCUGCAGAAAGAGGCAAUUAGCUAGUGUGUGGGGGGGUGGGGGGAGAUGUAGAAGGAAUACAGCCCAUUAGGUCUACAGAAGUGGCUGAAGCUGGUAUUUCUGCUUUCCCUUGGGAUAGGGGCUGCUGGAAGGUGCCCCUCCCACCCAACAGUGGGAUAGCCGCUGGGGUCAAAGUGGUGAACUUUGGAGACAGAAUUGGUUCCUCCCUAAUUAAGAGAUGUUAAGUAGGUAAACAAACACUGCGUAAGUGCUACAAAGGAGAUGCUACGUCCUUCUUAUCAUAUCAUCACAUCACUCCUUCUUCCCUCCCCAGAGUUAAGCUGUGGUGGGUCCCAGGAUCUAAUCUACACUGUUGCCACAGCACCCAAGAAAAUGUUAAAAAUUACCAUCUCUAGUGCUGUGACUAUGGAAGAUGCUUGAUUUUUUUCCUAUCAUAUGAAUGCGUUUUAUUUUAUUUGUUUUUGCCAAAUUUUUAUAAUGAACAUGUCAUAUUCACAAAACAAAGGGCUAAAGCCAAUAGAGUUAUUUUCAGAAGAAAGGAGACUGAGUGGAUUCCUGUAGAGGAGAAAAUUUUCCCAGCCCAGCUUGGAGGGAGGGGCCUUCUGAUGAUCCCGUCCAGCCUGAUGGCCACCGUGGGCGGGUUCUGACCACUGGGUGACCUGCACCCAGGGUUAUGUGAAAUUCAUGAGAACCAUUUCUAAGUGGUUAAAGAAAGAUGAGCUACUUAUAAAUUCCUUCCUUUAACAGCUGAUAUCUUCAACCUUCCUUCCCCACUCACUCUCAGCUAUGUAGGGGAGGGGCGGGGGAGGUGGUAGAAAUGGGGGAACCCCAGUCCUCUUGCUCCCACUCCUGCUCCCACACAAAGCUGGGCUGGCACAGGCAGCUUAUUCCAGUGCAGUGGACUUCCCUGAAAACGAGCCAGAACUUCGUGAGUUCCCAUGGCGGUCCUGGCCUGGGCCAGGGGCUGUGCUGUAAUGAAAGAGCAGACGUUAUCAUCUUCAUUCUAGAGAAAGGACAAUUUCAUCAGAAAGACAAAGCACAAGCAAAAUAAACAUCUGAAGAACACUGGCCCAAAUAAUGUAAUUAGAUAGGAUUUCAGGGAUUGAAUUCUUUUUGUAUUACAAAAUACAUCUUAUUUUGGUUUCACAAAUAAUGCUUAUAUGAAAAAACUUUUCUCCAUACGUUCACCCAGGGCGGCUUCAUGGAUGUGCAACCUAUGCGGUCACACGUGCUCAGAAGGGUCCCACACUUGGUGUAAUGCUCUGCCGUCACCAUCUUGAAAUUCUCAACGAUUUGAUCGUUGAACUUGGGUUUUGUAAGUGAACUCCAUCGGUGGAGGGAGCAGAAGAGAUGCACGCACUAUGCCAGUCCACAGUUCCUUGCUGACCACUCACAUAUGGUGUUCACCGUGCCCUGUGAGCGCUGAACUGGGGGGACCCACGCCGCGUGGGAGGUCAGCAAGACACAGUGAAGACAAAGUAAGUGUCUUACAUCUCUGACUAGGUGGGGCUGAUAACAGACCCAAGAUGUCACACUUUCUGUUGGGACCAGAAUUUGCUUCAAAUGCAGAAAAAGGCAAUGGCGUUCAAAGGACAUAAACGACCAAGGACUUCUGCCACAUGCUUUCUUACUCGUGUGACUUCCCUGUAUUAGCCAACCACUUCAUGCUGAAAACGACGACAUAGAAGGAAAGAGAAAGAAGAUAGUGCCUUCUCUUUUCUGUCCUUCCUUACUCAUCAGUGAGCCAAAGGUAGAGAAUAGGGUAGAAUGUGCGCACGUUAGGAAGUGAAAUAAACACAGUGGAGUAUUUCCACUUUCUAGUAAGAACGAAAUACAGAUGCGUGUACAAACAAAACACAGACUGUGUAAUUUCACCCAUUCUACAUACAAGUUAAAAGCUCUCAUAUUUGCAUUUAAAAUGACAUUGCACAAUAUAAAAAUGAAAGAUAAAAUUCAUGCUAAUAAUUCUAAUGUUUAAUUUUUCUUUACUUAACAACAUUAAAGAGCAAAUUAAAAAACACUAUGAGAAGCUGAGAGAAAGACUACAGGAGAAGGGAAAAAGCUUUCUAUUUCAAC